This 253-nucleotide ribosomal RNA is filed under the name uncultured bacterium. RNAcentral's name for it is "partial 16S ribosomal RNA". It matches the Rfam family "Bacterial small subunit ribosomal RNA", at positions 524 to 776 of the family's 1533-position model. The record is from RNAcentral.
UACGUAGGGGGCAAGCGUUGUCCGGAAUCAUUGGGCGUAAAGAGCGCGUAGGCGGCCCAGUAAGUCCGCUCUGAAAGUCAGAGGCUCAACCUCUGAAUGCGGGUGGAUACUGCUGGGCUAGAGUCCGGAAGAGGCGAGUGGAAUUCCUGGUGUAGCGGUGAAAUGCGCAGAUAUCAGGAGGAACACCGAUGGCGAAGGCAGCUCGCUGGGACGGUACUGACGCUGAGACGCGAAAGCGUGGGGAGCGAACAGG